Small nuclear RNA from Carlito syrichta (Philippine tarsier), 106 nucleotides. NCBI's taxonomy places the organism in Eukaryota, Metazoa, Chordata, Mammalia, Primates, Tarsiidae. The record is from Ensembl.
GUGCUAACUUUCACAAGACAUAUACUAAAAUUGAGACAAUACAGAGAAGAUUAGCAUGCCUCUGCUCAAGGAUGACACACAAACUAAUGAAGCGCUUUAUAUUUUU